CUUAAAUUGAAGAGUUUGAUCAUGGCUCAGAUUGAACGCUGGCGGCAGGCCUAACACAUGCAAGUCGAGCGGAAACGAG
RNAcentral lists this ribosomal RNA (79 nucleotides) under Vibrio parahaemolyticus. RNAcentral's name for it is "partial 16S ribosomal RNA". It matches the Rfam family "Bacterial small subunit ribosomal RNA", at positions 1 to 76 of the family's 1533-position model. The record is from RNAcentral. Lineage: Bacteria; Pseudomonadati; Pseudomonadota; Gammaproteobacteria; Vibrionales; Vibrionaceae.